Molecule: ribosomal RNA, 1859 nt
Filed under: Gryllus assimilis
Lineage: Eukaryota; Metazoa; Arthropoda; Insecta; Orthoptera; Gryllidae
Description: SSU rRNA
Rfam family: Eukaryotic small subunit ribosomal RNA
Source: RNAcentral
UAAGGUGAACCUCGAAUGGCUCAUUAAAUCAGUUACCAAAUUACUUGGAUAACUGUGGUAAUUCUAGAGCUAAUACAUGCAAACAGAGUCCCGACCAGAAAUGGAAGGGACGCUUUUGUUAGAUCAAAACCAUUCGGUCGGCUUAUCCGSUCCGUUUGCCUUGGUGACUCUGAAUAACUUUGGGCUGAUCGCACGGUCCUGGUACCGGGGACGCAUCUUUCAAAUGUCUGCCUUAUCAACUGUCGAUGGUAGGUUCUGCGCCUACCAUGGCUGUAACGGGUAACGGGGAAUCAGGGUUCGAUUCCGGAGAGGGAGCCUGACAAACGGCUACCACAUCCAAGGAAGGCAGCAGGCGCGCAAAUUACCCACUCCCGGCACGGGGAGGUAGUGACGAAAAAUAACGAUACGGGACUCAUCCGAGGCCCCGUAAUCGGAAUGAGAACAUUUUAAAUCUCUUAACGAUUACCCAUUAGAGGGCCAGUCUGGUGCCAGCAGCCGCGGUAAUUCCAGCUCUAAUAGCGUAUAUUAAAAUUGCUGCGGUUAAAAAGCUCGUAGUUUGACCUGUGCCCUGCGCUGCCGGUUCACCGCUCGUCGGUGUCCAACUGGCAUGCGUGCGGGGCGUCCUGCCGGUGGGCGCGAGCCGACUGCGGCGGCAGGCGCUCUCGGGCCAGGCUCCGGCGGUGAGCAAUCGCUGUCGGGCCGGGCUCUCGGGGGCGUUGGUGCCCCGUGGAAGGCGGACCCCGAUCUCACCCGCCGCGGUGCUCUUAACUGAGUGUCGUGCGGGCCGGCACGUUUACUUUGAACAAAUUAACGUGCUUAACGCAGGCCUUUGUCUGCCCGAAUACUCUUGCAUGGAAUAAUGGAAUAGGACCUCGGUUCUAUUUUGUUGGUUUUCGGAAGUCGAGGUAAUGAUUAAUGGGGAUUGCCGGGGGCAUCCGUAUUGCGACGUUAGAGGUGAAAUUCUUGGAUCGUCGCAAGACGAACUGGAGCGAAAGCGUUUGCCAAGUAUGUUUUCUUUAAUCAAGAACGAAAGUUAGAGGUUCGAAGGCGAUCAGAUACCGCCCUAGUUCUAACCAUAAACUAUGCCAACUAGCGAUCCGCUGUGUGUCUUAGAUGUCACGGCGGGCAGCCUCCGGGAAACCAAAGUCUUUGGGUUCCGGGGGAAGUAUGGUUGCAAAGCUGAAACUUAAAGGAAUUGACGGAAGGGCACCACCAGACGUGGAGCCUGCGGCUUAAUUUGACUCAACGCGGGGAACCUCAUCAGGCCAGGACACCGGAAGGAUUGACAGAUUGAGAGCUCUUUCUUGAUUCGGUGGGUGGUGGUGCAUGGCCGUUCUUAGUUCGUGGAGUGAUUUGUCUGCUUAAUUGCGAUAACGAACGAGAUCCUACCCUACUAACUAGUCGAAACCGGCAUCCCCUGUGCAGCCGGCGACCAACACUCUUCUUAGAGGGACAGGCGGCUUCCAGCCGCAGGAAGUGGGGCAAUAACAGGUCUGUAAUGCCCUUAGAUGUUCUGGGCAGCACGCGCGCUACACUGAAGGUAUCAACGUGUGUUUUCCUUGCUCGAGAGGGCCGGGUAACCCGUUGAAACUCCUUCGUGCUAGGGAUUGGGGCUUGCAAUUAUUCCCCACCAACGAGGAAUGCCUAGUAAGCGGGAAUCAUUACUUCCCGCUGAUUAAGUCCCUGCCCUUUGUACACACCGCCCGUCGCUACUACCGAUUGAAUAUUUUAGUGAGGUCUUCGGACCAGCCCGCGGACCCUUCUCAGGGGCCGUAGAGCCGGAAAGAUGACCGAACUUGAAUAUUUAGAGGAAGUAAAAGUCGUAACAAGGUUUCCGUAGGUGAACCUGCGGAAGGAUC